AGAGAAAUGCUGCCCGACUCUCUGGGGAAACACACCUUACCCCUCUUUUACCACCCCCACAUAAGUAGGGAGCCAAAAAGAUCAGCUUUCAGAGUUCUCAAAAUGCCUUCUGAAAAGUCUGGUUAAGACCACACCUUCUGACCGGGAGUCUGGUUCGUUAAGACUGCUGUGACAAAGUACUGUACACUGGGAGGGUUAUAAACAAAAGACAUAGAUAGCUCACAGAUCUGAAAGCUAAAAGUCCAAGAUCAAGGUGCUGGCAGAUUCAGGGUCUGGCGGGGGCCUGCAUCCCGUGUCACAGACAGCUGUCCUCUCACUGUCCUCAUGUGGCGAAACAGGCACGCAAUCUCUCUGGGGGCUAUUUUAUCAGAAGCACUGGUAUAGUUUGGACAUUUGUCCCUUCCAAAUCCCAUGUUCAAGUUUGAUCCCCAUUGUUGGAGAUGGAGUCUAAUGGGAGGCUUGGGGGCCAUGGGGUAGACGCCUCAUGAAGAGAUGAAUGCCCUCCCAGGGGAGGGGGGUAAGGUCUUACUCUAUUAGUUCCCAUGAGAGCUAGUUGUUAAAAAGAACCUGGCCCCUCCCCUCCUUCCUGCUUCCUGUCUCACCACACGAUCUCCGCACACACCAGCUCCCCUUCACCUUCUUCCACACUUGGAAGCAGCCUGAGGCCCUCACCAGAAGCCCAGUCCUGAAACUUCCAGCCAGCAGAACUGUGAGCUGAAUAAACUUCUUUUCUCUAUAAAUUACCCAGCUUCAAGUCCUCCUUUAUAGCAACAAUAAAUGGACUAAGAGGGGCUCUAAUCCCAUUCAUGAGGGUUCCACCCUCACGACCUAAUCACCUCCACAGGACCCACCACCAAAUAGCAUCACCUUGGGGGUUAAGGCUUCAUAUACGACUUUGGUGGGGAUGUAAAGAUUCCAUUCAUUGCACAGGGCAAAGGGAGGCCAUAGCAGCAGGGUCAUAGUGUUCUGGGGCUGCUCACUGCCCCUCACUCCCAGGCCUGCCCCACCCCAGCCAAGGCCUUCAUGCUGCUCUGGGCUACCUCUCCCAGGUCCUGCAUCCCAAGCAAAGGUACAGACUCAAUUGAGAUCUCCUGAGACUCACUCCCUGCCCCUGCAACAAGAUGGACAUGUCCUUGUCAAGUUCUUCUCUAGGAAAAUGUGGGCAUCACAUAGAGACUCGUACCUACCUGUGCAGAGGUUUUCCAGAGCCUCGAUCACCCCCUCUGUCUCAUCAUUGGUUUCUGGCUUCAGUCUCACCUUCUUGGUGAUGUCUUUGUCCCUGUGUCAUUCUAAUCAAAGUAGCUCCCCAGUCCCCACUGUGUCUCUCCAUCUUACUCCUCAGUUUUAGUUCCUUCAGAACAAUUGUGACCAGAGCAAUUGCCUGAAUUAUUCACUUAUUUUGUGGUAUGUUUUCAUAUUUAUUGACUGAUUUCUCCAACACUAAUCACCACACCUAGAAAAGCUCCCUAGUAUGUGGUCAGUGCUCAAUAAAUAUUUGCGGAAUGAAUGAAAUUGAGUUCUAAGCAUAGGCACAGUGGGGUUUUUUUUUUUUUUAAGU
RNAcentral lists this long non-coding RNA (1558 nucleotides) under Homo sapiens (human). RNAcentral's name for it is "HSALNT0356010". Lineage: Eukaryota; Metazoa; Chordata; Mammalia; Primates; Hominidae. The record is from RNAcentral.